RNAcentral lists this ribosomal RNA (442 nucleotides) under uncultured bacterium. RNAcentral describes it as "partial 16S ribosomal RNA". It matches the Rfam family "Bacterial small subunit ribosomal RNA", at positions 338 to 795 of the family's 1533-position model. The record is from RNAcentral.
CCUACGGGGAGCAGCAGUGGGGAAUAUUGGGCAAUGGGCGCAAGCCUGACCCAGCAACGCCGCGUGAAGGAAGAAGGCUUUCGGGUUGUAAACUUCUUUUAAGGGGGAAGAGCAGAAGACGGUACCCCUUGAAUAAGCCACGGCUAAAUACGUGCCAGCAGCCGCGGUAAUACGUAGGUGGCAAGCGUUGUCCGGAUUUACUGGGUGUAAAGGGCGUGCAGCCGGAGAGACAAGUCAGAUGUGAAAUCCACGGGCUCAACCCGUGAACUGCAUUUGAAACUGUUUCCCUUGAGUGUCGGAGAGGUAAUCGGAAUUCCUUGUGUAGCGGUGAAAUGCGUAGAUAUAAGGAAGAACACCAGUGGCGAAGGCGGAUUACUGGACGAUAACUGACGGUGAGGCGCGAAAGCGUGGGGAGCAAACAGGAUUAGAUACCCGGGUAGUC